This 726-nucleotide ribosomal RNA is filed under the name Triticum aestivum (bread wheat). RNAcentral's name for it is "partial small subunit ribosomal RNA". The record is from RNAcentral. Lineage: Eukaryota; Viridiplantae; Streptophyta; Magnoliopsida; Poales; Poaceae.
AUGCUUGGAAGCAUCGACUGCAUGCAUUGGAAAUGGAAGAAUUGCCCAUUUGCUUGGCAGGGGAUGUACAAAGGCGCCAAAGGCGGUUGCAGUGUGGUACUUGAGGCGGUGGCCACACAGGACCUCUGGAUUUGGCACUCCUUCUUUGGUAUGCCAGGAACUCACAAUGACAUCAACGUGCUGCAGUGCUCUCCUGUCUUUGCCAAGCUUGUUGAAGGUCAUUCUCCUCCGGUGAACUUCGAGAUCAAUGGGCGGCACUACAACAAGGGGUACUAUCUAGCUGAUGGCAUCUAUCCGAGAUGGUCGACAUUUGUGAAGACCAUCAAAAACCCUGUGCCUGGAGGCAAGAACGCCUGGUUUGCGAAGAUUCAGGAGGCUUGCAGGAAGGAUGUCGAGCGGGCAUUUGGUGUGCUCCAAUCUCGAUUUGCUGUUGUCCGGUACCCCGCUCAGACCUGGUCGAAAGAUCAAAUGUGGGAGAUCCUGACCUGCUGUGUCAUCUUGCACAACAUGAUCAUUGAGAACGAGCAGGAAGAGCCAGUGUUUGACACUGAACCAUACCACAGGCAGGGUCCUCUUGCCCAAGUUGAUCACCAGCUACCGGCAACCUGGACUGCCUACCUCAGUAUGCGUCAGGAGAUCCGAGACCCACAGGUGCAUCAUCAACUGCAGCAAGAUCUGAUAGAGCACCUAUGGAGGCUCAAGGGCGACACCGGGCGCGACGUGUGA